Momordica charantia (bitter melon) is the source of this 4894-nucleotide RNA transcript. It is a transcript of the gene named serine/threonine-protein kinase RUNKEL, with no coding region annotated. The record is from RefSeq and is a predicted model, not a curated record. NCBI's taxonomy places the organism in Eukaryota, Viridiplantae, Streptophyta, Magnoliopsida, Cucurbitales, Cucurbitaceae.
CUGUUCCCGCCCAUUUCCUCGCAGCGUUGUGCCGGCGAUUUUUCGAGCGACUGCAAAAGCAGACUCCAUUUCUCUCCUGAGUCUCUGCCGGAGAUCGUCAAGAAACCAGGCUCCAUUCUUUCUCCUCUUCUCUCUCUUGGCCGAUGAGUAUAUGAGGCCACUCGAUUUCGUAAUCCGAAACCCUAGCAACACUGCCGGAGCUGACAAUGAACCAGUACCACAUCUACGAAGCCAUUGGCCGUGGAAAGUACUCGACUGUGUAUAAAGGCAGGAAGAAGAAGAGCAUCGAGUACUCCGCGAUUAAAAGCGUGGAUAAGUCGCAGAAGAACAAGAUUCUCCAAGAAGUACGAAUACUUCACUCACUUGAUCACCUCAACGUACUUAAGUUUUACUCCUGGUACGAAACUUCUGCUCACUUAUGGCUGGUAUUAGAGUACUGUGUUGGAGGGGAUCUCAUGAGCAUCCUGCGCCAGGAUGGCAAACUACCUGAAGAUUCAAUUCAUGAUAUUGCUGGUGAUCUCGUCAGAGCAUUGCAGUACUUACACUCGAAAGGAAUCAUAUACUGUGAUUUGAAGCCAUCAAAUAUUCUACUGGAUGAAAAUGGACAUACAAAGUUAUGUGAUUUCGAACUAGCUAGAAAGUUGAAUGAGAUAUCAAAAACAAAUUCUUCGGUGCCACAAACAAAACGAGGCACACCCUGUUAUAUGGCUCCUGAAUUGUUCAAGGACGACGGUGUCCAUUCCUAUGCGUCUGAUUUGUGGGCGCUUGGUUGUGUCCUAUAUGAAUGCUUUGUGGGGAGGCCUCCUUUCAUGGGACGCGAAUUCACUCAACUAGUAAAAUCUAUCCUCUCAGAUCCUACCCCUAUCCUCCCUGGUAGUCCUAGUCGCCCUUUUGUUAAUCUGAUUAAUUCAUUGCUAGUAAAAGAUCCAGCUGAAAGAAUACAAUGGCCCGAGCUUUGUGGACAUGCGUUCUGGCGAACAAAAAUCACUCCAGUAUUUUUACCUCCACAACCAGCUUUUGCAAAUAUGAUAGAUCAGUAUUAUAAACCUUGUUUGUCGGAGAGAAAUGGCGAAAAACUUGUUCAGAAUAGGACCCCUCCUAAGUAUCGAGAAAAAGAUGUGAAGGGCACUUUGAGACAAAAUGAAAAUUCUGCUUUUGGUUCAAGUAAAAAUGAAACACUUGUUAAAGGUACUCCAGGCAGUCAAAAAACUCAAUCAAAGGUUUCUAGCAGAGUCGUUGAGGAGAAGAAGUUGAAAGAAAUUUCCUCUGCUUCCAAAGGAGUAAAUCUUUUGAGACUCUCAAGGAUAGCAAAAUUAAACUUGCAAAGAGAGAAUGAUAAAGAAAAUUACAGGAGACCCAUUCCUAGCAGCUCCGAAAAUGAUUCCGAGGUUGAAAUUAAGAACACUGAUAUGGAGCUUGAUUUUAAUGAGAAUGCUGAAGAUGAGUCGCAUGAAGAACCUGACGAGUCUGAUAAUUUAAAUUGUAAUCAGGAAGAUAGGUCAUCAAAUCAAAAUCCCCAUGGGAAGAUGGAAGAUGCACAAAAUAUGGGAGGAGACCUUCCAAAGUAUUCAUCGCCAGUUAAUAUCAAUGCUUCAGAUUUAUCAAACAAGCAUGAUCAGGAAUCACCAUUGGUACAUACAGGUGCGGUCGCUAUGUCACCUAUUGCUAGUCCUCAACUUAAGAAUCAAAGAACUAAAGAAGGAUCAGGGAAUGCUCUCGAGCCUGAUUCUUUGAAGUCAUCCAAUAACCUUGCAGAGUUUUUUUGGCAUCCAUCUGAUCUUUCUGUUAAACCAGUAAUGCCGAGCAGAAAAGCUGAUAAAAUAUCAGAUGUUAAUACUACCCUUCCUUUCGACGGAUUGAAAGCAUCUGAUUUUGUGAAGAUGCCUAAAGAGCAGCAGGAUGCAUUGUGCAGUAGGAUUAUUGCUACUCUUAGUGGAAAUACAAGUAUUGGUGAGAAGCAAAACAUGAUAAGAUACCUUGAGAUGCUUAGUAAUAAUGCUGAUGCAGCUAAUAUUUUGACCAAUGGGCCGGUAAUGCUCAUGCUUGUAAAAAUGCUCAAGCAGUCCAAGGUUUUGCAAUUGCGUGUUCAACUCACGUCACUAAUUGGCUUGCUGAUCCGCCACUCUACUUUUAUAGAAAAUGACUUGGCAAAUUCUGGUCUUUUAGUUUCACUUACCGAUGGACUCAGAGACAAGCAAGAAAAAGUCAGGAGGUUUUCUAUGGCUGCUUUGGGUGAGUUGCUGUUUUAUAUCUCCACUCAGGAAGAGCAUAACAGCAACGUCAAUCCUCCUGAAUCUCCUUUGAAGGACGCUAGAUCAUCCCCAUCUGGAUGGCAGGUUUCAAAUUCACUAAUUUCAUUAGUCUCAUCAAUCCUUCGAAAAGGAGAGGAUGAUAUGACUCAACUCUAUGCAUUGAGGACUAUUGAAAACAUUAGUAGUCAAGGAGCAAGCUGGGCAUCUCGCUUUACCAGCCAAGAUGUGAUCAGCAACCUAUGCUACAUAUAUAGAGCUUCUGGGAAAUCGGAGAAUGUAAGGCUCACAGCAGGAUCAUGUUUGGUUCGCCUGGUACGUUUCAAUCCCUCUAGCAUUCAGUCGGUCACAGACAAAUUAUCUUCCAAGGACAUGGCGUGUGCCCUUGUUAAGGGAAAUCCACGCGAGCAGCAAAUUACCUUAAAUCUUCUAAACAUGAUCAUGUUUGGAGGCCAUACCUUAACUAGCAUUGGAAGGUACCUUCUACCUUUAAUGGAGGAGAAGAAUCUCGUCUCUAGUCUGGCAUCCCUUAUUGAGCAAGGAAGUGAAAUUAUGAAGGGAAAGGCAAUUGUUUUCGUUGCUUUCCUCUGUAAGAAUGUAAGACGGUGGUUGCCUCAUUUCUUCUGCAAUUCCAGGUUACUUUCAUCAGUGGACAGGCUGGCGAAAGAGAAGGACGUCUAUGUCCAGCAGUGUUUAACUGGAUCUGUGCAUAUCGUGGCAUCUAUUGUGCCAAGUUUAUUGGAUAUGAUUUUAGGAGAUAUUCAACAAAUGAUGGGAGGAAGACGUCAUGGGCAUAUCUCCCCCCUUACUAGUCGUGCCGCUUCAAAGACCAACAUUCACUUGUUUCCUGUUGUCCUUCAUCUUCUUGGAAGUUUAACUUUUAAGCGCAAGAUUGUUAGUCCUCAGGUACUGCAGCAGUUGUCUGAUCUAAUCAGGCAUAUAGAGACCCCAUUUCAGGGCAGGGACGACUUCCAGAUAACGUUGCUUCGAGUUAUUGAAUCUAUCACAGAGGAAUUCUCGGUCAUUCUUGAAAACCCAGAGAUUUUUGUCCAUAAAAUUCUCCCCAGUUUGGCUGUUCUUUACAGAGGUAAUAAGGAUGGGGAUGCAAGAUUCUUAUGCCUAAAAAUUCUCUUUGAUGUGAUGUUCACUUUCCUGAAUGAACCAUCCAUAGAGGGGCAAAGGUCGCAGGAUCUAAAGCAUAUAGCAAAUUUGCACUUCCUCCCUCUCUAUCCUGCCUUGAUAGAAGAUGAUGAUCCCAUACCCAUGUAUGCCCAGAAACUUCUUGUGAUGCUCAUUGAGUGUAACUACAUCAAAAUUUCAGACAUUUUACAUCUAAAGACAAUCUCCCAGUGCUUCGAGUUUUUGCUUGGCGACCUUUCAAAUGCAAAUGUAAGUAGUGUUAAGCUGUGUUUGGCGCUGGCAUCUGCUCCUGAAAUGGAGUCAAGAAUACUUUCUCAACUCAAAGUUGUUAGAAGAAUAGGAAUUCUGUUAGAGUUUGUAUAUGCAAAGGAUAUGGAGGAUUUUCUCAAACCAACUCUUGGCCUAUGUAGAGCUCUCCUUCUCCGUUCUGUUAGUUGUAGAAAGGGCUUCAUCUACUCAAAAGAACCGGUUCUUCUGGGAGAUGGUACUCCCGAGCCAAAUGUUCUAGUUAACCAACAGGAAUGCAUAAGAGAUAUAUCUGACUUUGGUAACAAUGUUGGCGUCUUGUUGGAGUUGAGUGGGUCCUCAGAAGCAAAUAUCGCGGACAUAGCUUCUGAAUGUGUAGUGUUUUUGGUUAUGGCGGCUCCAAGGGAAGCUACCACUGGUCUUCUUACACACCUUCCCAAGAUUAGUGUAAUCCUGGAGUCCUGGAGGAGAAGAGGUGGCUGCCUCUUGCUUGUGCAAAGAAUGCUGCAUGCUCUCGGUUAUGCUUGUAGACAGUACUUGGCCCAUGCAAUGAUAUUAUCGCUAUCCCUAUCUGAAAUUUCACGGAUUGAGGCUAUUAUUUCUGAGAUCAAGAGUUCAGGCACGCCAAGUUUAACUAAUGAUGCAGUGCUUGCGGCUAUGGAGUUGCAGCGGCUUCACCGUUGUAUUUGAAAUGAAACAAGGAAAUUUGUACUUUGUAAAAUUGGCCGGGUAGCUAAGACAGAAGUAAGAUCUUUUCGUUCUAAUUUUAUAGUGAUAGUGUCGUACAGAUGAAAGAGUUAUCGGGAAAUCAGUGGAAAGAGGAGGAUUUGAACUCCCACGAGAAGAUGGCAUUGAAGAUACCCAUCUGGUAUCUGUAGUUCCCAACAUGAUUCUUGGGUCAGACGGUUGUCUCAUGAGAUUAGUCGAGGUGCGCGUAAGCUGACUCAGACACUCACAGGUAUAAAAAAAAAAUCAUAAGGAGCAGCCCUCCACAUGAUUAGAGAGAGACAUGUUUGCGUGGACUUGGAGGUAGUUUUUUUAUGAGAGUGAUAUGAGUUUUUGAUUUUUAUUUUUUUAGUUUAACCACAUGUGGAGGCGGGGAUUUAAAUCUUUUUUAUCCAAGAUAUAUGACUUAAUCCAUGAGAUAAACUAGAGAUCUCAAGAAUGCUAGAAAAUUGAUGGCUACUUUUGAAGCUAUCUAUAAUAUCAUUUUAAUUAAAGAUAUGAGCUAGGUAUCUCAAGAAUAAUAGCUAAUGGAU